UAGCUCAGUGGUAGAGCACUUGUCUUGCAUGCAGGAGACCCUGGGUUCAAUUCCUCAG
Molecule: transfer RNA, 58 nt
Filed under: Dipodomys ordii (Ord's kangaroo rat)
Lineage: Eukaryota; Metazoa; Chordata; Mammalia; Rodentia; Heteromyidae
Rfam family: tRNA
About the family: Transfer RNA (tRNA) molecules are approximately 80 nucleotides in length. Their secondary structure includes four short double-helical elements and three loops (D, anti-codon, and T loops).
Source: Rfam by way of RNAcentral